CAGCCGCCACGGUAAUACGAAGGGUGCAAGCGUUAAUCGGAAUUACUGGGCGUAAAGCGUGCGUAGGCGGUUUGUUAAGUCUGUUGUGAAAUCCCCGGGCUCAACCUGUGAAUGGCAAUGGAUACUGGCAAGCUAGAGUGUGUCAGAGGAUGGUGGAAUUCCCGGUGUAGCGGUGGAAUGCGUAGAGAUCGGGAGGAACAUCAGUGGCGAAGGCGGCCAUCUGGGACAACACUGACGCUGAGGCACGAAAGCGUGGGGAGCAAACAGGAUUAGAUACCCCCGUAGUCCCUGUCUCUUAUAC
Molecule: ribosomal RNA, 301 nt
Filed under: uncultured bacterium
Lineage: Bacteria
Description: partial 16S ribosomal RNA
Rfam family: Bacterial small subunit ribosomal RNA
Source: RNAcentral